CUACGGGAGGCUCCAGCUAAGAAUCUUCCGCAAUGGGCGCAAGCCUGACGGAGCGACGCCGCGUGGACGAAGAAUGCCGAGAGGUUGUAAAGUCCUUUUAUAUGCGAAGAAUAAUAUCUAUAGGUAAUGAUAGAUAGAUGACGUUAGCUUAUGAAUAAGCUCCGGCCAAUUACGUGCCAGCAGCCGCGGUAACACGUAAGGAGCGAGCGUUGUUCGGAAUUAUUGGGCGUAAAGGGCAUGUAGGCGGUUUUGUAAGUCUGGUGUGAAAUACCGCUGCUUAACAGUGGAGACGCACUGGAAACUGUGAGACUAGAAUCAGUGAGGGGUAACCGGAAUUCCUAGUGUAGGGGUGAGAUCUGUUGAUAUUAGGAAGAACACCGAUGGCGAAGGCAGGUUACUGGCGCAUGAUUGACGCUGAUGUGCGAAAGCGUAGGGAGCGAACAGGAUUAGAUACCCCAGUAGUC
RNAcentral lists this ribosomal RNA (464 nucleotides) under uncultured bacterium. RNAcentral describes it as "partial 16S ribosomal RNA". It matches the Rfam family "Bacterial small subunit ribosomal RNA", at positions 339 to 795 of the family's 1533-position model. The record is from RNAcentral.